AAGGUGGAAGGCUACAUCGUCAAAACAUGUCUGACUUCCGUUCGAAACGCCAUUGUGUUCCGGAUUGAUAACAUUAUGUCGUGGUACAAAAUAGCUAUACACCGUUUAAUUGAACUCUUCUAACUAAGGAGGUAAGAUAGGAAUGAAAUCACCAAAACGCUUAGAAAAUAUGUCAAUUUUCUUCCUGUUUAAAGCUUUUAACUAACAUUGAUUAUCAGCUGUUUUGUACGGAAAACGUGGAAUCUAAAUAAUAUACCGUUUCCCUGCUCUGCUGCUAUUGGCAAUACAUUUUUGUCAUGUCAUCUGCAACAGACGAUCAUACAUAUGUGGCGGAUUAUCGAUAUAGAUACAGCUAGGUAGCAAAAGCAGUGGAAGCCCAGAUUUGCAAGCCAAAUGAGGGAAAGACAGAAUUCUGAAAAAGGAGCAUGUUUUUUUCAUUUCCACACAUGCAUGUGUAUCACUAUGGACAUCUAAUGUUUUUGUGAGAUUUUGUCCAGCAGUUUGCCUUAAAAGAAUUUUUUUAUAUUUUAGUUUCAUAUUUAUGUGGAUUCCAAUAAAAAUCAUACAAACUUCAUUCAUGAUUUUUUUGUUUUUUAUUUCUAAACUUAAUAACAUUUCACUUUCAUAAGAAUUUUAAAACAGAAAUGUUUAAAAAUUUGAUAAAUAAGGGACUAUCUGGAACCAGACUGAUAUUUUAAAAAUUCUCUAGAAAAUAGUGUAUUGUAUUUUGAGGUCUAUUAUUGUUGAAUACUGUGCCUAGUAUUGGUAACAAAUGCAUGCAACAAAAAUCUCCUACACUUAUUUGGUGUAGAGAUCCACCUU
This is a long non-coding RNA of Magallana angulata, 822 nucleotides long. RefSeq lists it as uncharacterized. The transcript has 3 exons. Lineage: Eukaryota; Metazoa; Mollusca; Bivalvia; Ostreida; Ostreidae. The record is from RefSeq and is a predicted model, not a curated record.